RNAcentral lists this ribosomal RNA (253 nucleotides) under uncultured bacterium. RNAcentral's name for it is "partial 16S ribosomal RNA". It matches the Rfam family "Bacterial small subunit ribosomal RNA", at positions 524 to 776 of the family's 1533-position model. The record is from RNAcentral.
UACGAAGGGGGCUAGCGUUGUUCGGAAUUAUUGGGCGUAAAGAGCGUGUAGGCGGUUCGGUAAGUCUGCUGUGAAAUCCUGGGGCUCAACCCCGGGCGUGCAGCGGAUACUGCCGGGCUAGAGGGUGGUAGAGGCGAGUGGAAUUCCGAGUGUAGCGGUGAAAUGCGCAGAUAUUCGGAGGAACACCAGUAGCGAAGGCGGCUCGCUGGGCCACACCUGACGCUGAGACGCGAAAGCGUGGUGAGCGAACAGG